GUACUUCAGGUCCCUGUUCGGGCACCACUUGACGGUGCCUGCCGUCGAAGUCGAACAGUCUGAAGGGGAGGCGUGGAGCUGAAUAUAUGUACAACUCACUCUGAGAGGACGCCCCACGUUUGGGCGCCUGAUGUAAUAACAAAAAACACAGACAACACUGACAGACAGACAAUGGCUGCAGCCCCAACGUGGCGCAGCACCUUUAUUUUUAUACUGCCUUUCUCGGACCUCAGCCAAGUGCAAUACUCAUCUUUCCCUUCUCGGGGGGUGGGGGGGGCAGGCCAGAAGCAGGGGAGGUGUUUUCACACAUCCUCAAGGUCUCCCUAUUUUCAGAGUGAGGCGUCUUGGCUCAUCUUCGAGAACAAGAUAUGUUUUUGCGGGCAGAUAACUUCCAAGGACGGCACCGGUUGCUCUCAAGCUGGUGCUUUCCCGUGCUGGGUUCAGACAUGGGGGAAGGUGCUUUCCCAUUCUGCCUUCAGACAUGUGAGAAGACAAAGGCCGUCCCCAACAUCUACCCCCUAACUUGUCUCAUCCAUAAGGAACUGGAUGACUGACAUCCGCUGAAGGCUAAGGAAAGGAAAAAUACAAAGGGCUGCAUUUUCCCCACGGACAGAGAAGACAAGUCGCCUUUCUUCUGGUCUCUCAUGGAAAAGCUAGUGUGCAUGUUUUGGUGUGUGUUGCUCUGUGUCUACAUUCUUUCCUACUAUUACAGCAGAACUUUUCCCCUCCUACUUCAGCAGAACUUUUUCCCUGGAGGGGAGAAGAGGGGAAGGGAGGGAAGAGAAAGCAAAGCCCUCACCAUGAGCAGCUCAUCUCCCACCUGCCUACAUGAGGAAAGUAUUUUCACAUUUUUAUACCCCCUCCUAUCCCAUAAAUAGCCAGAACCUGGCAUAUUGUAGGAAGGCAUCUGACAGUGAUCUCUUUCACUGAAGUGUUAAAAAGAAACACACAGGCCCAACAUGGGGUCAAUUCUCCUAGGCCAGGUCCCCAAAUUCAGCUUAAUGCCCAACCUAAUUGCAGUUUCAGCCUCUACCAGGAGUGGCAUUUUAAGCCAGUCUAGAAUUUCCUGAUUGCUAGUGAGGUCAUCUGCACAAGCCCCCCUGCUUAUCCUGAGGUAGGGUGACCUUCCUUGCAACAUCCCUCAUCUCUUCUUUUGCUAGUAACUUUUUGCCCCACCCUCCUGUCUUUAAAAACCUUCCAUUCUGAACAACUCCUAGGAGCAACUCUCUACUUUGCUAGUUGGGAUGCUGCCCAAUUCAUAAAUCACUUAAAAAGACCAAUUAGAUCUUCAAAUUUACUUGGUUGAAUUUUGUUUUUUU
Long non-coding RNA from Manis pentadactyla (Chinese pangolin), 1319 nucleotides. RefSeq lists it as uncharacterized. The record is from RefSeq and is a predicted model, not a curated record. The transcript is spliced from 2 exons. Lineage: Eukaryota; Metazoa; Chordata; Mammalia; Pholidota; Manidae.